Molecule: ribosomal RNA, 278 nt
Filed under: uncultured bacterium
Lineage: Bacteria
Description: partial small subunit ribosomal RNA
Rfam family: Bacterial small subunit ribosomal RNA
Source: RNAcentral
AGAACGAACGCUGGCGGCGUGGAUAAGACAUGCAAGUCGAACGGGACUUUUUCUGGUAGCAAUACCGGGAAAGUUUAGUGGCGAACGGGUGCGUAACACGUGGGCAAUCUGCCGAGAAGUGGGGGGAUAGCUCGCCGAAAGGCGAAUUAAUACCGCAUGUGAUGAGCUAAGACAUCUUGGCGAAAUCAAAGCCGGGGCAACCUGGCGCUUUUUUGAGGAGCCCGCGGCCUAUCAGCUUGUUGGUGAGGUAACGGCUCACCAAGGCGAUGACGGGUAGC